GCUGGGCGUGGUGGUGCGUGCCUGUAGUCCCAGCUACUUGGGAGGCUAAGGCAGGAGAAUCGCUUGAACCCAGGAGGUGGAGGUUGUAGUGAGCUGAGACUGCGCCAUUGCUCUCCAGUCUGGGUAACAACAGUGGAACUCUGUCUCAAAACAAACAAACAAAAAACAACUAAUUCUAUUUGUAUUCUAUUCUCUUUUUUUUUGGAGACAGAGUCUCAUUCUUGCCCAGGCUUAAGUGCAAUGGCCCAGUCUCAGCUCACUACAACCUCCACCUCCUGGGUUCAAGCGAUUCUCCUGCCUUAG
RNAcentral lists this signal recognition particle RNA (303 nucleotides) under Callithrix jacchus (white-tufted-ear marmoset). RNAcentral describes it as "Metazoan signal recognition particle RNA (ENSCJAG00000087091.1)". It matches the Rfam family "Metazoan signal recognition particle RNA". Rfam says of the family: The signal recognition particle (SRP) is a universally conserved ribonucleoprotein. It is involved in the co-translational targeting of proteins to membranes. The record is from RNAcentral. Lineage: Eukaryota; Metazoa; Chordata; Mammalia; Primates; Cebidae.